Callorhinus ursinus (northern fur seal) is the source of this 351-nucleotide non-coding RNA. Lineage: Eukaryota; Metazoa; Chordata; Mammalia; Carnivora; Otariidae. The record is from RefSeq and is a predicted model, not a curated record.
UGAAAAAAGAGGGAAAACAGUAGCUGCCGCUGAUUUAUUUGGUCCCAGACAUUCCAACCCAUAAGCCACUAACUUCAAGAAUGCUUAACAAGGGAGCAAGGCAUCUCUGGCAGAAGAUUCUAUGAUCCACAUGAGACAGAAGUUGGGAAUUCAAGUUUCUACAAGAGCAGGCACCGUGAAUCAAUAACUCCUUCCUCGACACUUUCUGGGGGGAUCAUGCCGGAUCCCCUGACACAGGGUUAGCAUAAGGCGUUCAUCAAGACAGCCAAGGGUGCUUAGCAGAGAGUCAGCACACAUACAAAGAACGGGCAGCUCCAUACGAGCCAAUCGGAAGCAUCCAAGAUAGGUGGC